AUUGUUGACUUAAAUGAUAUU
This 21-nucleotide small nuclear RNA is filed under the name Arabidopsis thaliana (thale cress). RNAcentral's name for it is "snRNA_10383". The record is from RNAcentral. Lineage: Eukaryota; Viridiplantae; Streptophyta; Magnoliopsida; Brassicales; Brassicaceae.